Molecule: non-coding RNA, 99 nt
Organism: Chelonoidis abingdonii (Abingdon island giant tortoise)
Lineage: Eukaryota; Metazoa; Chordata; Testudines; Testudinidae
Source: RefSeq, a predicted model, not a curated record
GGAGUGUAAAUUGCUUGUGCUGUUUAUAAUGCUAAGUUUACUAGUUUUCAGAGUGUAGACCAGGCCUAACUAUUUUUGUUGAGUUGUUUCAGAUCUAAG